UACGUAGGUGGCAAGCGUUGUCCGGAAUUAUUGGGCGUAAAGCGCGCGCGGGCGGUUCCUUAAGUCUGAUGUGAAAGCCCACGGCUCAACCGUGGAGGGUCAUUGGAAACGGGGGAACUUGAGUACAGAAGAGGAAAGUGGAAUUCCACGUGUAGCGGUGAAACGCGUAGAGCGGUGGGGGAACACCAGUGGCGAAGGCGACUUUCUGGUCUGUAACUGACGCUGAGGCGCGAAAGCGUGGGGAGCAAAAAGG
RNAcentral lists this unclassified non-coding RNA (253 nucleotides) under uncultured Caryophanales bacterium. Its description in RNAcentral is "uncultured Bacillales bacterium contains 16S-23S intergenic spacer region". It matches the Rfam family "Bacterial small subunit ribosomal RNA", at positions 524 to 776 of the family's 1533-position model. The record is from RNAcentral. Lineage: Bacteria; Bacillati; Bacillota; Bacilli; Caryophanales.